Molecule: non-coding RNA, 70 nt
Organism: Penicillium roqueforti FM164
Lineage: Eukaryota; Fungi; Ascomycota; Eurotiomycetes; Eurotiales; Aspergillaceae
Source: Rfam
UGAGGCCUCCGACGUGACACAACAUCCUGCAGCGGUGUUGUGUGACCUGCAGUGUCCGUCGCUGGCCUCG